GACGAACGCUGGCGGCGUGCUUAACACAUGCAAGUCGAACGGAAAGGCCCUGCUUGCAGGGUACUCGAGUGGCGAACGGGUGAGUAACACGUGGGUGAUCUGCCCUGCACUUCGGGAUAAGCUUGGGAAACUGGGUCUAAUACCGGAUAGGAGCCAUCUUUAGUGUGGUGGUUGGAAAGUUUUUUCGGUGUAGGAUGAGCUCGCGGCCUAUCAGCUUGUUGGUGGGGUAAUGGCCUACCAAGGCGGCGACGGGUAGCCGGCCUGAGAGGGUGUACGGCCACAUUGGGACUGAGAUACGGCCCAGACUCCUACGGGAGGCAGCAGUGGGGAAUAUUGCACAAUGGGCGCAAGCCUGAUGCAGCGACGCCGCGUGGGGGAUGAAGGCCUUCGGGUUGUAAACUCCUUUCGCUAGGGACGAAGCUUUGUUGUGACGGUACCUAGAUAAGAAGCACCGGCUAAUUACGUG
This 466-nucleotide ribosomal RNA is filed under the name uncultured bacterium. RNAcentral describes it as "partial 16S ribosomal RNA". It matches the Rfam family "Bacterial small subunit ribosomal RNA", at positions 28 to 507 of the family's 1533-position model. The record is from RNAcentral.